Molecule: ribosomal RNA, 497 nt
Filed under: uncultured bacterium
Lineage: Bacteria
Description: partial 16S ribosomal RNA
Rfam family: Bacterial small subunit ribosomal RNA
Source: RNAcentral
GAUGAACGCUGGCGGCGUGCCUAAUACAUGCAAGUCGAGCGAACGGAUGAGAAUCUUUCUUCUCUGAUGUUAGCGGCGGACGGGUGAGUAACACGUGGAUAACCUACCUAUAAGACUGGGAUAACUUCGGGAAACCUGAUCUAAUACCGGAUAAUAUUUUGAACCGCAUGGUUCAUCAGUGAAAGACGUUCUUGCUGUCCCUUAUAGAUGGAUCCGCGCUGCAUUAGCUAGUUGGUAAGGUAACGGCUUACCAAGGCAACGAUGCAUAGCCGACCUGAGAGGGUGAUCGGCCACACUGGAACUGAGACACGGUCCAGACUCCUACGGGAGGCAGCAGUAGGGAAUCUUCCGCAAUGGGCGAAAGCCUGACGGAGCAACGCCGCGUGAGUGAUGAAGGUCUUCGGAUCGUAAAACUCUGUUAGUAGGGAAGAACAGAUGUGUAAGUAACUGUGCACAUCUUGACGGUACCUAAUCAGAAAGCCACGGCUAACUACGUG